RNAcentral lists this ribosomal RNA (447 nucleotides) under uncultured bacterium. Its description in RNAcentral is "partial 16S ribosomal RNA". It matches the Rfam family "Bacterial small subunit ribosomal RNA", at positions 30 to 523 of the family's 1533-position model. The record is from RNAcentral.
AUUGAACGCUGGCGGCAGGCUUAACACAUGCAAGUCGAACGGUCCUUCGGGAUAGUGGCGGACGGGUGAGUAACACGUGGGAACGUACCCUUAGGUUCGGAACAACACAGGGAAACUUGUGCUAAUACCGGAUGAGCCCUUCGGGGGAAAGAUUUAUCGCCUUUGGAGCGGCCCGCGUCUGAUUAGCUUGUUGGUGAGGUAAUGGCUCACCAAGGCUACGAUCAGUAGCUGGUCUGAGAGGAUGGCCAGCCACACUGGGACUGAGACACGGCCCAGACUCCUACGGGAGGCAGCAGUGGGGAAUCUUGCGCAAUGGGCGAAAGCCUGACGCAGCCAUGCCGCGUGGAUGAUGAAGGUCUUAGGAUUGUAAAAUCCUUUCACCGGGGACGAUAAUGACGGUACCCGGAGAAGAAGCCCCGGCUAACUUCGUGCCAGCAGCCGCCGUAA